Astyanax mexicanus (Mexican tetra) is the source of this 456-nucleotide long non-coding RNA. RefSeq lists it as uncharacterized. The record is from RefSeq and is a predicted model, not a curated record. Lineage: Eukaryota; Metazoa; Chordata; Actinopteri; Characiformes; Acestrorhamphidae. The transcript is spliced from 3 exons.
AUCUGCGGGGCAAAGCAUCCUGAGAGCCUAACUUCCACAAAACUGCGCAAACAAACAGGAACACUCUCUCAGGUUCUCAAUCUAAGUAACACAGACCUUGAUCAGUUAGCAGAUUUUCUUGGUCAUGAUGUAAGGGUGCAUCGGCAGUUUUAUAGACUUCCUGAGGGCACACUCCAGCUUGCUAAAAUGAGUAAAAUCCUGAUGGCCCUUGACAAGGGACGAUUGGCAGAGUUCCAGGGCAAGAGUCUGGACGAAAUCAACAUUGAUCCUGAAGAGAAUGUUCACCUGGAUAGUGAUGUGGAACCAGAGUGUGAGUCCGGAACACAAGAGAAUGACACCACAACUAGAGAGACAGCAAAUGAGGAAAGAAUGCCAGAUGUGAACCAAAGGGGUGAAGAGUGCACUUAAACACAGCAAGGCAUAAUGACUCAUCAAGCCUCCACAUGCAAGUCACAA